UACCCGAGUAGCAGCGGGCCCGUGAAAUCUGCUGUGAAUCCGUCGGGACCACCCGAUAAGCCUGAAUACUCCCUGGUGACCGAUAGCGGACUAGUACCGUGAGGGAAAGGUGAAAAGUACCCCGGGAGGGGAGUGAAAUAGUACCUGAAACCGUGCGCUUACAAUCCGUCGGAGCCUUCGAGCAGUUUGGUCUGCUGGGGGUGACGGCGUGCCUUUUGAAGAAUGAGCCUGCGAGUUAGUGGCAUGUCGCGAGGUUAACCCGUGUGGGGUAGUCGUAGCGAAAGCGAGUCCGAACAGGGCGCAUCAGUGGCAUGUUCUAGACCCGAAGCGGAGUGAUCUACCCAUGGCCAGGGUGAAGCGACGGUAAGACGUCGUGGAGGCCCGAACCCACUUAGGUUGAAAACUGAGGGGAUGAGCUGUGGGUAGGGGUGAAAGGCCAAUCAAACUCCGUGAUAGCUGGUUCUCCCCGAAAUGCAUUUAGGUGCAGCGUCGCGUGUUUCUCACCGGAGGUAGAGCUACUGGAUGGUCUAGGGGGCCCACAAGCUUACCGAAAUCAGCCAAACUCCGAAUGCCGGUGAGUGAGAGCGCGGCAGUGAGACUGCGGGGGAUAAGCUUCGUAGUCGAGAGGGAAACAGCCCAGAUCGCCGGCUAAGGCCCCUAAGCGUGUACUAAGUGGAAAAGGAUGUGGGAUCGCUGAGACAACCAGGAGGUUGGCUUAGAAGCAGCCACCCUUGAAAGAGUGCGUAAUAGCUCACUGGUCAAGUGGUUCUGCGCCGACAAUGUAGCGGGGCUCAAGUACACCGCCGAAGCCGCGGCACUC
This 820-nucleotide ribosomal RNA is filed under the name Rhodococcus rhodochrous. RNAcentral describes it as "bacterial LSU rRNA". It matches the Rfam family "Bacterial large subunit ribosomal RNA", at positions 405 to 1210 of the family's 2925-position model. The record is from RNAcentral. Lineage: Bacteria; Bacillati; Actinomycetota; Actinomycetes; Mycobacteriales; Nocardiaceae.